RNAcentral lists this ribosomal RNA (465 nucleotides) under uncultured bacterium. RNAcentral's name for it is "partial 16S ribosomal RNA". It matches the Rfam family "Bacterial small subunit ribosomal RNA", at positions 339 to 795 of the family's 1533-position model. The record is from RNAcentral.
CUACGGGUCGCACCAGUGGGGAAUAUUGGACAAUGGGGGAAACCCUGAUCCAGCAAUGCCGCGUGUGUGAAGAAGGCCUGCGGGUUGUAAAGCACUUUCGGUUGGGAGGACUGCUUCUAGCACUAAUAUUGUUGGAAGUUGACGUUACCUUCAGAAGAAGCACCGGCUAACUCCGUGCCAGCAGCCGCGGUAAUACGGAGGGUGCAAGCGUUAAUCGGAAGUACUGGGCGUAAAGCGCGCGUAGGCGGCUAGAUCAGUCGGGUGUGAAAGCCCCGGGCUUAACCUGGGAACUGCAUCCGAUACUGUCUAGCUUGAGUACAGGAGAGGAGAGUGGAAUUCCACAUGUAGCGGUGAAAUGCGUAGAUAUGUGGAGGAACACCAAUGGCGAAGGCAGCUCUCUGGCCUGAUACUGACGCUGAGGUGCGAAAGCGUGGUGAGCAAACAGGAUUAGAUACCCCUGUAGUC